RNAcentral lists this ribosomal RNA (463 nucleotides) under uncultured bacterium. Its description in RNAcentral is "bacterial SSU rRNA". It matches the Rfam family "Bacterial small subunit ribosomal RNA", at positions 28 to 507 of the family's 1533-position model. The record is from RNAcentral.
GAUGAACGCUAGCGGAAGGCCUAAUACAUGCAAGUCGAACGGAUAUAUUUACUUCGGUGAAUAUGUUAGUGGCGCACGGGUGAGUAACGCGUACACAACCUACCUUACAUUGGGGGAUAGCCCUGGGAAACUGGGAGUAAUACCGCAUAAUAUUAUUUGAAGGCAUCUUUGGAUAAUUAAAGCUGAGGCGAUGUAAGAUGGGUGUGCGUCUGAUUAGGUAGUUGGUAGGGUAACGGCCUACCAAGGCGACGAUCGGUAGCCGGACUGAGAGGUCGGCCGGCCGCAUUGGGACUGAGACACGGCCCAGACUCCUACGGGAGGCAGCAGUGGGGAAUAUUGCGCAAUGGGGGAAACCCUGACGCAGCGACGCCGCGUGAAGGAAGAAGGCCUUCGGGUUGUAAACUUCUUUGAUCGGGGACGAAGGAAGACGGUACCCGAGGAACAAGCCACGGCUAACUACGUG